Molecule: ribosomal RNA, 465 nt
Filed under: uncultured bacterium
Lineage: Bacteria
Description: partial 16S ribosomal RNA
Rfam family: Bacterial small subunit ribosomal RNA
Source: RNAcentral
CCUACGGGUGGCAGCAGUGGGGAAUAUUGCGCAAUGGGCGAAAGCCUGACGCAGCGACGCCGCGUGAGGGAUGAAGGUCUUCGGAUCGUAAACCUCUGUCAGCAGGGAAGAACGGUCACUGUGCUAAUCAGCAGUGAAUUGACGGUACCUGCAAAGGAAGCACCGGCUAACUCCGUGCCAGCAGCCGCGGUAAUACGGAGGGUGCGAGCGUUAAUCGGAAUUACUGGGCGUAAAGCGCUCGCAGGCGGUAUGUCAAGUCAAGGGUGAAAUCCCCGCGCUCAACGUGGGAACGGCCUUUGAAACUGGUAAACUGGAGUGUGGUAGAGGAUAGUGGAAUUCCAGGUGUAGGGGUGAAAGCCGUAGAGAUCUGGAGGAACAUCGGUGGCGAAGGCGACUAUCUGGCACAUAACUGACGCUGAGGAGCGAAAGCGUGGGUAGCGAACAGGAUUAGAUACCCCAGUAGUC